This 468-nucleotide ribosomal RNA is filed under the name uncultured bacterium. RNAcentral's name for it is "partial 16S ribosomal RNA". It matches the Rfam family "Bacterial small subunit ribosomal RNA", at positions 28 to 507 of the family's 1533-position model. The record is from RNAcentral.
GACGAACGCUGGCGGCGUGCUUAACACAUGCAAGUCGAACGGAAAGGCCCUGCUUUUGUGGGGUGCUCGAGUGGCGAACGGGUGAGUAACACGUGAGUAACCUGCCCUUGACUUUGGGAUAACUUCAGGAAACUGGGGCUAAUACCAGAUAGGAGCUCCUGCUGCAUGGUGGGGGUUGGAGAGUUUCGGCGGUUGGGGAUGGACUCGCGGCUUAUCAGCUUGUUGGUGGGGUAGUGGCUUACCAAGGCUUUGACGGGUAGCCGGCCUGAGAGGGUGACCGGCCACAUUGGGACUGAGAUACGGCCCAGACUCCUACGGGAGGCAGCAGUGGGGAAUAUUGCACAAUGGGCGGAAGCCUGAUGCAGCAACGCCGCGUGCGGGAUGACGGCCUUCGGGUUGUAAACCGCUUUCGCCUGUGACGAAGCGUGAGUGACGGUAAUGGGUAAAGAAGCACCGGCUAACUACGUG